AUUGAACGCUGGCGGCAUGCCUUACACAUGCAAGUCGAACGGCAGCGGACCUUCGGGUGCCGGCGAGUGGCGAACGGGUGAGUAAUGCAUCGGAACGUGCCAUUGAGUGGGGGAUAACGUAGCGAAAGUUGCGCUAAUACCGCAUAUUCUGUGAGCAGGAAAGCAGGGGGACCGCAAGGCCUUGCGCUCUUUGAGCGGCCGAUGUCAGAUUAGCUAGUUGGUGAGGUAACGGCUUACCAAGGCGACGAUCUGUAGCGGGUCUGAGAGGAUGAUCCGCCACACUGGAACUGAGACACGGUCCAGACUCCUACGGGAGGCAGCAGUGGGGAAUUUUGGACAAUGGGGGGCAACCCUGAUCCAGCCAUGCCGCGUGAGUGAAGAAGGCCUCGGUUGU
RNAcentral lists this ribosomal RNA (394 nucleotides) under uncultured bacterium. RNAcentral's name for it is "bacterial SSU rRNA". It matches the Rfam family "Bacterial small subunit ribosomal RNA", at positions 30 to 426 of the family's 1533-position model. The record is from RNAcentral.